This 890-nucleotide ribosomal RNA is filed under the name uncultured Bacillota bacterium. Its description in RNAcentral is "bacterial SSU rRNA". It matches the Rfam family "Bacterial small subunit ribosomal RNA", at positions 11 to 916 of the family's 1533-position model. The record is from RNAcentral. Lineage: Bacteria; Bacillati; Bacillota.
CUUUGAUCCUGGCUCAGGACGAACGCUGGCGGCACGCUUAACACAUGCAAGUCGAACGGAGAACAUUGAGCUUGCUUAAUGUUCUUAGUGGCGGACGGGUGAGUAACACGUGAGUAACCUGCCUCUGAGAGUGGGAUAGCUUCUGGAAACGGAUGGUAAUACCGCAUAACAUCAUGGAUUCGCAUGUUUCUAUGAUCAAAGAUUUAUCGCUUAGAGAUGGACUCGCGUCUGAUUAGCUAGUUGGUAAGGUAACGGCUUACCAAGGCGACGAUCAGUAGCCGGACUGAGAGGUUGAUCGGCCACAUUGGGACUGAGACACGGCCCAGACUCCUACGGGAGGCAGCAGUGGGGAAUAUUGCACAAUGGGGGAAACCCUGAUGCAGCGAUGCCGCGUGGAGGAAGAAGGUUUUCGGAUUGUAAACUCCUGUUGAAGAGGACGAUAAUGACGGUACUCUUUUAGAAAGCUCCGGCUAACUACGUGCCAGCAGCCGCGGUAAUACGUAGGGAGCGAGCGUUGUCCGGAAUUACUGGGUGUAAAGGGAGCGUAGGCGGGAUGGCAAGUCAGAUGUGAAAACUAUGGGCUCAACCCAUAGACUGCAUUUGAAACUGUUGUUCUUGAGUGAGGUAGAGGUAAGCGGAAUUCCUGGUGUAGCGGUGAAAUGCGUAGAGAUCAGGAGGAACAUCGGUGGCGAAGGCGGCUUACUGGGCCUUUACUGACGCUGAGGCUCGAAAGCGUGGGGAGCAAACAGGAUUAGAUACCCUGGUAGUCCACGCCGUAAACGAUGAUUACUAGGUGUGGGGGGACUGACCCCUUCCGUGCCGCAGUUAACACAAUAAGUAAUCCACCUGGGGAGUACGGCCGCAAGGUUGCAACUCAAAGGAAUUGACGG